Molecule: ribosomal RNA, 468 nt
Filed under: uncultured bacterium
Lineage: Bacteria
Description: bacterial SSU rRNA
Rfam family: Bacterial small subunit ribosomal RNA
Source: RNAcentral
GACGAACGCUGGCGGCGCGCCUAACACAUGCAAGUCGAACGGAAUCAAGAGGAGCUUGCUUUUCUUGAUUUAGUGGCGAACGGGUGAGUAACGCGUGAGUAACCUGCCCUGGAGUGGGGGACAACAGUUGGAAACGACUGCUAAUACCGCAUAAGCCCACGGUGCCGCAUGGUACUGAGGGAAAAGGAUUUAUUCGCUUCAGGAUGGACUCGCGUCCAAUUAGCUAGUUGGUGAGGUAACGGCCCACCAAGGCGACGAUUGGUAGCCGGACUGAGAGGUUGAACGGCCACAUUGGGACUGAGACACGGCCCAGACUCCUACGGGAGGCAGCAGUGGGGGAUAUUGCACAAUGGGGGAAACCCUGAUGCAGCGACGCCGCGUGGAGGAAGAAGGUUUUCGGAUUGUAAACUCCUGUCGUUAGGGACGAUAAUGACGGUACCUAACAAGAAAGCACCGGCUAACUACGUG